RNAcentral lists this long non-coding RNA (831 nucleotides) under Lepisosteus oculatus (spotted gar). RNAcentral's name for it is "lncRNA (ENSLOCG00000021302.1)". Lineage: Eukaryota; Metazoa; Chordata; Actinopteri; Semionotiformes; Lepisosteidae. The record is from RNAcentral.
AACAAAAUACUCUCUGGUACAUCUUGAAAUGAGCAGUUGGGACAACUAUAUGCAUGCUGUUGGAUAUAUAUUUAAAGGCCUGUCUGAAAAACCUGAAGUUGAAGUACACUUGAAACAUUAUUACAUAGGUGAUGAUAUAAGCAUACGCUGUGGAGCAAAAAGAGGAAUCCGCUGCCAUUUCUACAUGGAUGGGAGUGCGGUCCCUUUCAGAUCAGUGCCAUACAGACAACAGUAUGGGCAGUGUCACCUCUCUCUGUCUGUUGAGGAGCUGGUGGAGGACAGGGACUUUGGGGAUAGUACUGAGGUGUCUCUGAGCUGUUCUGUGGAAUUCAAAAUGGAUGGACAGCUGAAAAGUUCACAGCGCAGCAAAGCUGAAAAAGUGACAGUGUUUGACACGUUCAGUAAAUAUGGAAGACCUCAUAUUCAAGUGGACCAUAAAGUGAUAAAGGACGAACGUUCUGUUCAAGUACUCUGUCACUCCGAGACUGGAAUACGCUGUUUCUUCUACAGUGGCCAAGCUAAACAACCUUUUUCAUCAAUAAUAUACAGCAAGGAAUCUAAAACCUGUCAGCUCACUGUGCCAGAGAAGACAUUACUGACAAGGACAGAGGACAGGAUGAGUCCUGAGAUCCUGUUCAGUUGCAGUGUGGAACUGAAUUUAGAGGGAAGAGCAGUGACCUCACGACGCAGCAAGAAUAUCAAAGUGGACAUAAAUUGGAACAGUGCAGGUUUGUCACAGUACUGUAACUUUGUUUACCCCUUUAAAUCUUAAGAAAAGUACAGUAUUUUCAAUUUGAGUUUAGAACUCCAAAAUAAAGGCCUGUAGGCUAU